AGGAUACCUUGCAGGAGUUGGUUCUCUCCUUCCACCGACAUACCUAUGAUGUAGAACCACCUCAUCUACACCAGCGAGGCACCUUUUGAGAAAGUGGUUCUCCCAGCACCAGCCCUCAAAGUGAAAGCUCUCAUCUCUUGGGAUCCUGCCAUCUCCUGCAGUGUUCUCCAGCCCUGACCUCUGCCCCACGUGGGUUUCCUCAGCCUUAGUCACAGCCAAGCAUAUCUGCUUUGGGACUUCCACAUAGGGUUCUGGGGACUGAACUCAGGCCAGCAUUUUCCUGACCGAGCCACCCUCCCCAGACCUACGGCCUUCCUGCUAAGAACACCAGUCAUGGGAUGAGACCCUAAGACUUCUUCAGUUGAUCACCUCUGUAAGGCUCCGCCCCCAGGGCUGAAGAGGUGAUUAAGAGCAUGCAGGAGAUCUGAGAAGGUGCUGUUGGAGCUGCUUCCCUCUGUCACUGCACAAGGCUCUCUGGAACCAACGAACUGAGAGAGCGAUGCACCCUAGAAGCCAAGUGGCUUGGAAAACGCAUUUAGGCUCAAACAAAAGGCACCAAUUGAACAAAACCAGCAAGACACGGCACUAAUUGGCAGCCACACUCUGUUUCCCCCCCUCCAGCUGCCUCUAGAAUCAGAAAACAACCGUUCGAGUGAAAGCCAUGAAAUUAAAAUACUUUUUAAA
This 684-nucleotide long non-coding RNA is filed under the name Mus caroli (Ryukyu mouse). RNAcentral describes it as "lncRNA (MGP_CAROLIEiJ_G0004829.1)". The record is from RNAcentral. Lineage: Eukaryota; Metazoa; Chordata; Mammalia; Rodentia; Muridae.